This 463-nucleotide ribosomal RNA is filed under the name uncultured Campylobacterota bacterium. RNAcentral describes it as "bacterial SSU rRNA". It matches the Rfam family "Bacterial small subunit ribosomal RNA", at positions 29 to 506 of the family's 1533-position model. Lineage: Bacteria; Pseudomonadati; Campylobacterota. The record is from RNAcentral.
AAUGAACGCUGGCGGCGUGCUUAACACAUGCAAGUCGAACGAUGAAGAACCUAGCUUGCUAGGGUUGGAUUAGUGGCGCACGGGUGAGUAAUAUAUAGAUAACGUGCCUCUUAGUCUGGGAUAGCCAUUGGAAACGAUGAUUAAUUCUAGAUACUCCUUCUUAUCAAAUGGUAAGAUGGGAAAGUUUUUUCGCUAAGAGAUCGGUCUAUAUCGCAUCAGUUAGUUGGUGGGGUAACGGCCUACCAAGACAAUGACGCGUAGCGGGUUUGAGAGGAUGAUCCGCCACACUGGUACUGAGACACGGACCAGACUCCUACGGGAGGCAGCAGUGAGGAAUAUUGCACAAUGGGGGAAACCCUGAUGCAGCAACGCCGCGUGGAGGAUGACGCAUUUCGGUGUGUAAACUCCUUUUAUAUGUCAAGAAAAUGACGGUAGCAUAUGAAUAAGCACCGGCUAACUCCGU